RNAcentral lists this ribosomal RNA (217 nucleotides) under uncultured fungus. Its description in RNAcentral is "partial small subunit ribosomal RNA". The stretch from base 40 to 217 matches the Rfam family "Eukaryotic small subunit ribosomal RNA", at positions 686 to 864 of the family's 1831-position model. Lineage: Eukaryota; Fungi. The record is from RNAcentral.
GGGUCAGUAGGUUGGCCGUGCCACUGGUAUGCACUGGCCUUACUGAUUCCUCCUUCUUGAAGAACUGUGAUGUCAUUUACUUGGUGUUGCAGGGAAACAGGACUGUUACUUUGAAAAAAUUAGAGUGUUUAAAGCAGGCUAACGCUUGAAUACAUUAGCAUGGAAUAAUAAAAUAGGACGUAACGAUCCUAUUUUGUUGGUUUCUAGGAUCAACGUA